GGGGUGGCAAAAUGGGUGGGUUGGGCAGGUUUGGGUAAUGAGUUAGGAUGGGUAUGGGUUAGGAUGGGUCAAGAUAGGUUUUUGUCAAGAUAGAUUUGGGCAUGAUAGGCUAAAAUUAUAAAAAAAAAAUAAAAAAAUAAAAAAAAAAUCAAAAAAUUUAAAAAAAGCAAAAAAAUAAAAAAAUUCAAAAAGAUUUGAACAGUUAAAAAAAUUAAAAAUAAAAGAAAAUUUUAAAAAAAAUAAAAAAAAAGGUUCAGUGCUUGUAAUAGAAACAAAAAACACUUGAAAGAAAAAAAAAAGAAUGCAAAUUGCAUACUUGUAUCAUAAUAUAUUUGUAAUGUAGGGAUUGUUUCAUGAAACAAAAAAUGGAGAUGAUUAACAAG
This 383-nucleotide long non-coding RNA is filed under the name Helianthus annuus (common sunflower). RNAcentral's name for it is "sRNA HanXRQr2_Chr13g0584031". Lineage: Eukaryota; Viridiplantae; Streptophyta; Magnoliopsida; Asterales; Asteraceae. The record is from RNAcentral.